This 307-nucleotide ribosomal RNA is filed under the name Platyophrya macrostoma. Its description in RNAcentral is "partial Bacterial large subunit ribosomal RNA". It matches the Rfam family "Bacterial large subunit ribosomal RNA", at positions 806 to 1110 of the family's 2925-position model. Lineage: Eukaryota; Ciliophora; Colpodea; Cyrtolophosidida; Platyophryidae. The record is from RNAcentral.
GAGCUGUGGAUAGGGGUGAAAGGCCAAUCAAACUUCGUGAUAGCUGGUUCUCUCCGAAAUGCAUUUAGGUGCAGCGUUGCGUGUUUCUUGCCGGAGGUAGAGCUACUGGAUGGCCGAUGGGCCCUACAAGGUUACUGACGUCAGCCAAACUCCGAAUGCCGGUAAGUGAGAGCGCAGCAGUGAGACUGUGGGGGAUAAGCUUCAUAGUCGAGAGGGAAACAACCCAGACCACCAACUAAGGUCCCAAAGCGCGUGCUAAGUGGGAAAGGAUGUGGAGUUGCUUAGACAACCAGGAGGUUGGCUUAGA